AGGGUUUGAUCAUGGCUCAGGACGAACGCUGGCGGCAUGCCUAACACAUGCAAGUCGAACGAGAUCUUCGGGUCUAAUGGCGCACGGGUGCGUAACGCGUGGGAAUCUGCCCUUUGGUUCGGAAUAACAGUUGGAAACGACUGCUAAUACCGGAUGAUGACGAAAGUCCAAAGAUUUAUCGCCAGAGGAUGAGCCCGCGUAGGAUUAGCUAGUUGGUGUGAUAAAGGCGCACCAAGGCGACGAUCCUUAGCUGGUCUGAGAGGAUGAUCAGCCACACUGGGACUGAGACACGGCCCAGACUCCUACGGGAGGCAGCAGUGGGGAAUAUUGGACAAUGGGCGAAAGCCUGAUCCAGCAAUGCCGCGUGAGUGAUGAAGGCCUUAGGGUUGUAAAGCUCUUUUACCCGGGAUGAUAAUGACAGUACCGGGAGAAUAAGCUCCGGCUAACUCCGUGCCAGCCGCCGCGGUAAUAC
This 472-nucleotide ribosomal RNA is filed under the name uncultured bacterium. RNAcentral's name for it is "bacterial SSU rRNA". It matches the Rfam family "Bacterial small subunit ribosomal RNA", at positions 8 to 526 of the family's 1533-position model. The record is from RNAcentral.